This 459-nucleotide ribosomal RNA is filed under the name uncultured bacterium. RNAcentral's name for it is "partial 16S ribosomal RNA". It matches the Rfam family "Bacterial small subunit ribosomal RNA", at positions 338 to 795 of the family's 1533-position model. The record is from RNAcentral.
CCUACGGGGGGCAGCAGUGAGGAAUAUUGGUCAAUGGGCGGAAGCCUGAACCAGCCAAGUAGCGUGCGGGAUGAAGGCCCUACGGGUCGUAAACCGCUUUUGCACGGGGAUAACACCCUCCACUUGUGGAGGUCUGCAGGUACCGUGCGAAUAAGGGCCGGCUAAUUCCGUGCCAGCAGCCGCGGUAAUACGGAAGGCCCGAGGGUUAUCCGGAUUGGUUGGGCUGAAAGGGAGCGUAGCGGGGCGUUCAAGUCAGCUGUAAAAUCGCGGGGCUAAACCGCGCCCCGCAGUUGAAACUGGACGGCUUGAGUUCACAACAGGGAGGCAGAAUUCGAGGUGUAGCGGUGAAAUGCAUAGAGAUGACGAGGAACCCCGAUGGCGAAGGCGGCCUGCCGGGGUGCGACUGACGCUGAGGCUCGAAGGUGCGGGUAUCAAACAGGAUUAGAUACCCGUGUAGUC